AACGCUUACAAAACUUUUGUUAGUAAGAAAUGCACUCUUGAAUUAUAUUAGUUUAACUUUAGCUAUAAGGAUCUUUUAACUGACGAUAGAACGAGUAGCGCUACUAUGUACAUGAUGUACUGUAACAAUUUAACCAAGUCUACAUACAUACACCGUUUGUUGGUUCGCCUGGCAUAGGCGGAACUUGCAGUUAAGGUAGGUUAAAGGAACAUGUAAAAAGAAAGAUAACGGUUGGUUUCUUUCCCUCGACUUAUAUUUCUGUGAAGAAAUUUAAAGUAAGUAAACAUCUAGACAAUCUUAUAUGUUUCUGGUUAUGUUAUAGUUUCAAAAAUAUCAGAUCAACAGUUUAUUUAUUACUGAUAAGAAUAUCUAACAUGUGUACCAACAGUCAAGGGGCUAAAAUAUAAAAAAAAACAAAAACACUGUAAUACUAAUUACUGAUAACAUAUACAUGUAUGUUACAUGUUUCAAAGGGACAAUAUUAUUAUCAAUAUACAACCUUUACUUUGUUAAAUUUUUCACAAGUUAUAUUGGUAUUAUAACUUUCUUUUAGUAUACUAAACUUUGCAAAGAUAUAACAGUUCAUAGUUUAUCAUAGUACACCUAUGUUAUCAUACAGAAAAUAUAUUCCUGCAAUAACCAAAGGGUGUUAUUACAGCUUCUCUACAACUCUUUAAAGCCUUUGCUCAAACAUAUAUCACAAUGCAUUUCAAUUCAUUGUAAGAAACAGUGGCGGAUCUACUGGAAAUUUCCGUCAUGAUUCAGUGAUUCUCUAUAUAAUCAACCAAAUUUUUUUCUCAAAAGGGGGGCCCUGGCCCCCACCCCCUAAAUCCGCCUCUGAGAAAUGAUCAAAGCUUGUAAUGAGGCACUGCACAAGAUUCCCAGGUGUCUCAUUUACUCUUAUAUAAUAAGUAACAUGCCUGUAAUAUAACUGAGCCUAUUUAAUACAGCAUAGUUUUCGUUUGAAGGCCUUGUCUCAUUGAUGAACCAAGGUUGAUCAAAAUUGUAUUAAGGGAAUUAGAAAAUUAGUUAUCAAGGUAAUAUAUAAAGCUACUGCACAAAGUUUCAGCAAGACUUUUUUUUUCUGGGACACCAUCAUAACUAUUUGGACUACCUAUACUUUGACCUUAAAUCAUGAUAAUCCAAAUGAAUCGUGAUGCCUGAAAAGGUCAUAUUUUAUAGACAUGAUAGACAGUAUCUCAGAGAAAAAACCUUGGCCAGGCGUAAUAAUCAUUUGGACUAAGGUGAAGUACAGUCUUCAGUCAUGUCAACACUGAGCCCGGUAAAUAAUGUUGACCUACAAUGUUUACAAAUACCAGCAUUCUUGUCCUUACUGAAUAAAGAAGAUGUGAGGUAAACAUCAAUGGGACAGUACACAUAUAUAUGUUUCUUUUACAUGUUGUAUAUAUUAUGGAUUCAGAAUUACAAUUACUUAAACAUACAAGAUACAGUCAGACAUGUCAGAUGCAUUAUUUAAUUAAGAGAAUGUCAAAAUAGAUUUGUUAUAUACAUGAUAUAUGUGUAAAUUGCAGAAAGGUAUCAAAAGGAUAAAUAUGUCUAUAUAAUGUUUGUUCCUUACAGAGUUGUACAAGAACACAAAUACAGGAGAUAUUAAACCAUUAUCAAUAAGACAUUUUAAGAUGUUAGAGAAAGGAGAGGAUUUAGUCACACUCAACAGUACUCUACAGAGACACAUAAACACACAGGCUUAUAAAACACAUCAUAAAUGUGAUGUCUGUGCUAGAGAAUUUAGUCAAAGUGGUGACUUAAAAAGACACAUGAGAACACAUACUGGUGAAAAACCUUAUAAAUGUGAUGUGUGUGUUAGAGAAUUUAGUCGAAGUAAUGACUUAAAACGACACAAGAGAACACAUACUAGAGACCAACCUCAUGACUGUGAUGUAUGUGGUAAAGGGUUCAGACAGCUUCGUUAUUUACAAAGACACAUGAGAACACAUAAUGGUGACAAUUCUUAUAACUGUGAUGUUUGUGGUAAAAGUUUUAGUGAGCAAGGAAGUUUAAAGAAACACAUUAAAAUACAUACAGGGGACACACCUUAUGACUGUUGUAUAUGUGGUAAAGGAUUUAGUGAGAAAGGUAAUUUACAGAAACAUGCGAGAACACAUACAGGUGACAAACCUUAUGACUGUGAUGUAUGUGGUAAAAGAUUUAGUGAGCAAGGUAAUUUACAGAAACACAUGAAAAUACAUACAGGGGACACGCCUUAUGACUGUUGUAUAUGUGGUAAAGGAUUUAGUGAGAAAAGUUAUUUACAGAAACAUGUGAGAACACAUACAGGUGACAAACCUUAUGACUGUGAUGUAUGUGGUAAAGGAUUUAGUCAAAAAGGUAAUUUACAGAAACAUGCGAGAACACAUACAGGUGACAAACCUUAUGACUGUGAUGUAUGUGGUAAAAGAUUUAGUGAGCAAGGUAAUUUACAGAAACAUGCAAGAACGCAUACAGGUGACAAACCUCAUGUCUGUGUUCUUUGUGAUAAAAAGUUCAGUCAGCUUAGUCAUUUACAGGGACACAUAGGAACACAUACAGGUUACAAACCUCAUAAAUGUGAUAUAUGUGGGAAUGGAUUUAGUGAUCUUAGUAAUUUAAAGAGACAUAGGAAAAUACAUACAUUGUACAUGUACAGGUGAAACAUGUAAACCUCAUAAUUGUGAUGCAUGUGGGAAAGGGUUUAGCCAAAUUAGUAGUUUACAGAGACACAUGAGAACACAUACAGGGGAUAAAUCUCAUGACUGUGAUACAAUGUAUAUAUGUGAAUCCGGGUUUGGUCAGCAUUGUAAUUAACACAUUGACCAUGUUGACACGAGAACACAUGCAGGUGAUCAACCUCAUGUUUUUGGUGAUGUGGUAAUGGGUGUAAAUAGCUAGCUUAGAUAUGUAGAGAAACAUGAUGCAUACAGCAGAUAAACCUCAUGACUAUGUGGUAAAGGUUUUUGCCAGCAUUUCAACUCAAAGAGCCAAAUUGAAAUAAAUGGGGGUAACUCCUAAAUUAGACGUUGAGGAGUCAGUGUGAGUGAUAAUCUACACACUAAAAUUAUGAGAACAUGUACAUGUAAAUAAGUGAUAAUUUUCGUAGACACAUGAGAGCACAUUUAGUAGAUAAGUGAUAAUUUGCCUAGCUUUGUAGACACAUGAGAACACAUACUAGUAAUUAUUUACAUAAAACAUGAUAACUCAAUAUUUGUACUAGUG
Molecule: long non-coding RNA, 3213 nt
Filed under: Mytilus galloprovincialis (Mediterranean mussel)
Lineage: Eukaryota; Metazoa; Mollusca; Bivalvia; Mytilida; Mytilidae
Source: RNAcentral